CUCUAAUGAUGACUCGAGUUUUGUGCCACGUGUCUGGGCCACUGAAAGCUCAUGAUGGCUUUGAGGAACUGAAUGAG
Cyprinodon variegatus (sheepshead minnow) is the source of this 77-nucleotide small nucleolar RNA. NCBI's taxonomy places the organism in Eukaryota, Metazoa, Chordata, Actinopteri, Cyprinodontiformes, Cyprinodontidae. The record is from Ensembl.